RNAcentral lists this ribosomal RNA (495 nucleotides) under uncultured bacterium. RNAcentral's name for it is "partial 16S ribosomal RNA". It matches the Rfam family "Bacterial small subunit ribosomal RNA", at positions 30 to 507 of the family's 1533-position model. The record is from RNAcentral.
UGAACGCUGGCGGCGUUCCUAAUACAUGCACGUCGAGCGAACAGACGAGGAGCUUGCUCCUCUGACGUUAGCGGCGGACGGGUGAGUAACACGUGGAUAACCUACCUAUAAGACUGGGAUAACUUCGGGAAACCGGAGCUAAUACCGGAUAAUAUAUUGAACCGCAUGGUUCAAUAGUGAAAGACGGUUUUGCUGUCACUUAUAGAUGGAUCCGCGCCGCAUUAGCUAGUUGGUAAGGUAACGGCUUACCAAGGCAACGAUGCGUAGCCGACCUGAGAGGGUGAUCGGCCACACUGGAACUGAGACACGGUCCAGACUCCUACGGGAGGCAGCAGUAGGGAAUCUUCCGCAAUGGGCGAAAGCCUGACGGAGCAACGCCGCGUGAGUGAUGAAGGUCUUCGGAUCGUAAAACUCUGUUAUUAGGGAAGAACAAAUGUGUAAGUAACUAUGCACGUCUUGACGGUACCUAAUCAGAAAGCCACGGCUAACUACGUG